AUGUCCUUUCUUUCAACUGUGUUUGAAUACAACAGCAUUGGAAGCUUAGGGAGGAGUGGGAAUUUUGUUCAAGUAGAGAACAUUCAUGUAAGUAAGAUAUACCUCCAAGGAACUACCAAGGGAGCUCGGAUCAAGACAUGGCAAGUACUAAAUCAAAGUGGUAUACAUGCUCGCAUUUUAAGUUUUACUGCCUUAUUAUGA
RNAcentral lists this long non-coding RNA (201 nucleotides) under Prunus dulcis (almond). Its description in RNAcentral is "sRNA ncRNA". Lineage: Eukaryota; Viridiplantae; Streptophyta; Magnoliopsida; Rosales; Rosaceae. The record is from RNAcentral.